AGAGGGUGCGAGCGUUGUCCGGAAUCACUGGGCGUAAAGGGCGCGUAGGUGGCCUGGUAAGUAGGGGGUGAAAUCUCGUGGCUCAACUGCGAGGCUGCCUCCUAAACUGUCAGGCUCGAGCAGAGUAGAGGCAGGUGGAAUUCCCGGUGUAGCGGUGGAAUGCGUAGAGAUCGGGAAGAACAUCGGUGGCGAAGGCGGCCUGCUGGGCUCUUGCUGACACUGAGGCGCGACAGCGUGGGGAGCAAACAGGAUUAGAUACCCUGGUAGUCCACGCCCUAAACUAUGUCAACUGGUUGUCGGGGAAGCAAUUCCUUGGUAACGAAGCUAACGCGUGAAGUUGACCGCCUGGGGAGUACGGCCGCAAGGUUA
RNAcentral lists this ribosomal RNA (369 nucleotides) under uncultured bacterium. Its description in RNAcentral is "bacterial SSU rRNA". It matches the Rfam family "Bacterial small subunit ribosomal RNA", at positions 527 to 896 of the family's 1533-position model. The record is from RNAcentral.